Molecule: ribosomal RNA, 483 nt
Filed under: uncultured bacterium
Lineage: Bacteria
Description: partial 16S ribosomal RNA
Rfam family: Bacterial small subunit ribosomal RNA
Source: RNAcentral
GACGAACGCUGGCGGCGUGCUUAACACAUGCAAGUCGAACGCUGAAGCUCAGCUUUUGUUGGGUGGAUGAGUGGCGAACGGGUGAGUAACACGUGAGUAACCUGCCCCCUUCUUUGGGAUAACGCCCGGAAACGGGUGCUAAUACUGGAUAUUCACUGGUCUUCGCAUGGGGGUUGGUGGAAAGGGUUUUUCUGGUGGGGGAUGGGCUCGCGGCCUAUCAGCUUGUUGGUGGGGUGAUGGCCUACCAAGGCUUUGACGGGUAGCCGGCCUGAGAGGGUGACCGGUCACAUUGGGACUGAGAUACGGCCCAGACUCCGACGGGAGGCAGCAGUGGGGAAUAAUGCACAAUGGGCGCAAGCCUGAUGCAGCGACGCCGCGUGAGGGAUGGAGGCCUUCGGGUUGUGAACCUCUUUCGCUCAUGGUCAAGCCGCAACAAUGGUUGUGGUGAGGGUAGUGGGUAAAGAAGCGCCGGCUAACUACGUG